UGAGCAUUACUGACAUUUUGGGCCAGAUC
This 29-nucleotide non-coding RNA is filed under the name Homo sapiens (human). The record is from RNAcentral. Lineage: Eukaryota; Metazoa; Chordata; Mammalia; Primates; Hominidae.